RNAcentral lists this ribosomal RNA (1235 nucleotides) under Burkholderia territorii. Its description in RNAcentral is "bacterial SSU rRNA". It matches the Rfam family "Bacterial small subunit ribosomal RNA", at positions 8 to 1243 of the family's 1533-position model. Lineage: Bacteria; Pseudomonadati; Pseudomonadota; Betaproteobacteria; Burkholderiales; Burkholderiaceae. The record is from RNAcentral.
AGUGUUUGAUCCUGGCUCAGAUUGAACGCUGGCGGCAUGCAUACACAUGCAAGUCGAACGGCAGCACGGGUGCUUGCACCUGGUGGCGAGUGGCGAACGGGUGAGUAAUACAUCGGAACAUGUCCUGUAGUGGGGGAUAGCCCGGCGAAAGCCGGAUUAAUACCGCAUACGAUCUACGGAUGAAAGCGGGGGACCUUCGGGCCUCGCGCUAUAGGGUUGGCCGAUGGCUGAUUAGCUAGUUGGUGGGGUAAAGGCCUACCAAGGCGACGAUCAGUAGCUGGUCUGAGAGGACGACCAGCCACACUGGGACUGAGACACGGCCCAGACUCUUACGGGAGGCAGCAGUGGGGAUUUUUGGACAAUGGGCGAAAGCCUGAUCCAGCAAUGCCGCGUGUGUGAAGAAGGCCUUCGGGUUGUAAAGCACUUUUGUCCGGAAAGAAAUCCUUGGCUCUAAUACAGUCGGGGGAUGACGGUACCGGAAGAAUAAGCACCGGCUAACUACGUGCCAGCAGCCGCGGUAAUACGUAGGGUGCAAGCGUUAAUCGGAAUUACUGGGCGUAAAGCGUGCGCAGGCGGUUUGCUAAGACCGAUGUGAAAUCCCCGGGCUCAACCUGGGAACUGCAUUGGUGACUGGCAGGCUAGAGUAUGGCAGAGGGGGGUAGAAUUCCACGUGUAGCAGUGAAAUGCGUAGAGAUGUGGAGGAAUACCGAUGGCGAAGGCAGCCCCCUGGGCCAAUACUGACGCUCAUGCACGAAAGCGUGGGGAGCAAACAGGAUUAGAUACCCUGGUAGUCCACGCCCUAAACGAUGUCAACUAGUUGUUGGGGAUUCAUUUCCUUAGUAACGUAGCUAACGCGUGAAGUUGACCGCCUGGGGAGUACGGUCGCAAGAUUAAAACUCAAAGGAAUUGACGGGGACCCGCACAAGCGGUGGAUGAUGUGGAUUAAUUCGAUGCAACGCGAAAAACCUUACCUACCCUUGACAUGGUCGGAAUCCUGCUGAGAGGCGGGAGUGCUCGAAAGAGAACCGGCGCACAGGUGCUGCAUGGCUGUCGUCAGCUCGUGUCGUGAGAUGUUGGGUUAAGUCCCGCAACGAGCGCAACCCUUGUCCUUAGUUGCUACGCAAGAGCACUCUAAGGACACUGCCGGUGACAAACCGGAGGAAGGUGGGGAUGACGUCUAGUCCUCAUGGCCCUUAUGGGUAAGGCUUCGCACGUCAUACAAUGGUCGGAACAGA